This 253-nucleotide ribosomal RNA is filed under the name uncultured bacterium. RNAcentral's name for it is "partial 16S ribosomal RNA". It matches the Rfam family "Bacterial small subunit ribosomal RNA", at positions 524 to 776 of the family's 1533-position model. The record is from RNAcentral.
UACGGGGGGUGCAACCGUUGCUCGGAAUUAUUGGGCGUAAAGCGCACGUAGGCGGUCUUGUAAGUCGGGUGUGAAAGCCCGGGGCUUAACCCCGGAAGUGCACUCGAAACUGUAAGGCUUGAGUAUGGAAGAGGGUCUCGGAAUUCCCGGUGUAGAGGUGAAAUUCGUAGAUAUCGGGAGGAACACCAGUGGCGAAGGCGGAGACCUGGGCCAAUACUGACGCUGAGGUGCGAAAGCGUGGGGAGCAAACAGG